AAAACGACUCUCGGCAACGGAUAUCUCGGCUCUCGCAUCGAUGAAGAACGUAGCGAAAUGCGAUACUUGGUGUGAAUUGCAGAAUCCCGUGAACCAUCGAGUCUUUGAACGCAAGUUGCGCCUCAAGCCGUUAGGCCGAGGGCACGCCUGCCUGGGUGUCACGC
RNAcentral lists this ribosomal RNA (164 nucleotides) under Acer cf. monspessulanum Denk 1997075. RNAcentral's name for it is "5.8S ribosomal RNA". It matches the Rfam family "5.8S ribosomal RNA". From Rfam's summary of the family: 5.8S ribosomal RNA (5.8S rRNA) is a component of the large subunit of the eukaryotic ribosome. It is transcribed by RNA polymerase I as part of the 45S precursor that also contains 18S and 28S rRNA. Functionally, it is thought that 5.8S rRNA may be involved in ribosome translocation. The record is from RNAcentral. Lineage: Eukaryota; Viridiplantae; Streptophyta; Magnoliopsida; Sapindales; Sapindaceae.